Molecule: long non-coding RNA, 250 nt
Filed under: Panax ginseng (ginseng)
Lineage: Eukaryota; Viridiplantae; Streptophyta; Magnoliopsida; Apiales; Araliaceae
Description: long non-coding RNA (PGIN_LNC003265)
Source: RNAcentral
UGGCCUACUCCCAGAGCGUGAUAUUGAAUUUUGUAUUAACUUUGAACCCGGUACAAAACUCAUUUCUAAAAUCUCAUAUCGAAUGGCUCCUAUUGAACUUCAAGAGUUAAAAACCCAAAUAUAGAAGUUGAUAACCGAGCCUCUAUCUGGUGACUUCUUUUGUGGAAUGCACCGAAGCCAGACUCUCCGUAGGGGACGCCAUAUUCGUGCGAUAGUAAAUUGAUAGGUGUCAUUGUGACGUGUGCUAUCC